GGGUGAUAAUAAAUAUCAUGCUGAACAAUAUGGAUUGCAGGAUGCUAAGAAAGGUGUGUUGUUUAUUGAUUUCCCCCCCGUCCUUCAGCUACAGCUAAAACGAUUUGAAUAUGAUUUUAUGCGGGACACUAUGGUAAAGAUUAAUGAUCGUUAUGAAUUCCCUUUGCAACUUGACCUUGAUCGAGAGAAUGGCAAAUAUUUAUCACCUGACGCUGAUAGGAGUGUUCGCAACUUAUAUACUCUUCACGGUGUUCUUGUUCACAGUGGUGGGGUUCAUGGUGGACAUUAUUAUGCUUUUAUUAGGCCAACCCUUUCCGAUCAAUGGUUCAAAUUUGACGAUGAACGGGUGACAAAAGAGGAUAUAAAGAGGGCACUAGAAGAGCAGUAUGGUGGUGAGGAAGAGUUACCAUAAGCAAAUCCCGGCUUCAACAACUCUCCAUUUAAGUUUACAAAAUAUUCAAAUGCCUACAUGCUUGUAUAUAUACGUGAAAGUGACAAGGAAAAGAUAAUCUGUAAUGUCGAUGAGAAGGACAUUGCAGAACACCUCCGGAUUAGGUUGAAAAAAGAACAGGAAGAAAAAGAACAAAAGAGAAAGGAAAAAGCUGAGGCCCACUUGUAUACUAUCAUAAAGGUUGCCUGCAGUGAGGAUCUAUUUGAACAGAUUGGGAAAGAUAUAUAUUUUGAUCUUGUGGAUCAUGCCAAAGUUCGUAGUUUCCAUAUCCAGAAACAGAUAUAUUUUAAUCUUUUCAAGGAGGAAGUUGCUAAAGAGUUUGGUAUACCAGUGCAAUUUCAACGAUUUUGGUUGUGGGCGAAGCGCCAAAACCAUACAUAUCGCCCAAAUCGACCAUUGACUCCUCAGGAGGAAGCACAAUCUGUUGGACAAUUAAGGGAGGUUUCCAACAAAGUGAAUAAUGCUGAGCUGAAGUUGUUUUUGGAAGUAGAAAUUGGACAGGUAUUGUUGAUUAUGUAUACCAUAGUCAUCUUUUCCUAUGGCUUUCCAGAUGGACAUUGAUGGAUUUUAUUUGGCACAUCCUUUAUAUCUUUUCACCAUGAUAAUCCAGGAUUUGAGGCCAAUCCCUCCACCAGAGAAGACUAAAGAUGACAUUCUUCUUUUCUUUAAACUUUAUGACCCUUUUAAAGAGGGACUACGGUAAUCUUAAUUUACAGGUUCUCUUACUUUAUGAGAAUGUAGUUAGCUGACCUUCUGUGAUGACAGGUGUGUUGGGUGGCUGUUUGUGAAGGGGAGUGGCAAGCCAUUGGAGAUAUUGACAAGGCUAAAUGAAAUGGCUGGCUUUAGUUCUGAUCAAGAGAUUGAACUUUACGAGGAAAUAAAAUUUGAACCUAAUGUCAUGUGUGAACACAUUGACAAGAAGCUCACAUUUCGUGCUAGUCAGCUUGAAGAUGGAGAUAUAAUUUGCUUUCAUAAAUCCCCUCCAGUUGGAAGUGGUGAACAAUGCCGCUGCCCUGAUGUACCUUCAUUUCUUGAAUAUGUGCAUAACCGCCAGGUUGUUCGUUUUCGAUAUUUAGAGAAGCCAAAGGAAGAUGAAUUUUGUCUUGAGCUGUAAGUCAAACCUGUAAUAUCUAUACAUUUUGGGCUCAAAAUCAAUUUAUUGUUCUUUCUUUUUACGUUGUCCAAUAAAUUUGAGGUUGAAGCUUCACAAUUAUGAUGAUGUUGUGGAAAGAGUAGCUCGCCAUCUUGGCUUGGAUGAUCCAUCUAAAAUUAGGCUUACAUCCCAUAACUGUUAUUCCCAGCAACCCAAACCCCAACCUAUCAAGUACCGAGGAGUGGAUCAUUUGUCUGACAUGCUGGUCCACUACAACCAGAUAUCUGAUAUUCUGUACUAUGAGGUACUGGAUAUCCCUCUUCCAGAAUUGCAAGGCUUGAAAACAUUGAAAGUUGCUUUUCAUCAUGCGGCCAAGGAUGAGGUGGUGAUUCAUACUAUUAGAUUGCCAAAACAGAGCACUGUAGGUGAUGUUAUUAAUGACCUUAAAACAAAGGUAGCUACCGUAACUUUGCAGUUCAGUUUAUUUAUUUAUUUCUUCCUUCCUAACAUAUUUGGUAAUUGAAGUAUGAGUUGCCUUGAUUGGUGUGCAUUGCCAUUGACCUGCUUCCUAUUAAGGGUUAGGGCAUCUUAAUUUUGAGUAGGGUGUAAAUGAACCAAUUCAAGUUUUGAAUUGCUCAGGCUUGACUCGAUAUAUUUUUUUUAGACUCGAGCUCCGCUUGUCUCAGGCUCAUUUAUAUUAUAUACGAACUAAGUUUGAGCUCGUUAAUAUUAUUAUAUUAA
RNAcentral lists this unclassified non-coding RNA (2285 nucleotides) under Hevea brasiliensis (rubber tree). The record is from RNAcentral. Lineage: Eukaryota; Viridiplantae; Streptophyta; Magnoliopsida; Malpighiales; Euphorbiaceae.